RNAcentral lists this ribosomal RNA (728 nucleotides) under uncultured bacterium. RNAcentral's name for it is "bacterial SSU rRNA". It matches the Rfam family "Bacterial small subunit ribosomal RNA", at positions 52 to 795 of the family's 1533-position model. The record is from RNAcentral.
CGAAGCAAUUAAGAGGAAGUUUUCGGAUGGAAUCUUGGUUGACUGAGUGGCGGACGGGUGAGUAACGCGUGGAUAACCUGCCUCACACUGGGGGAUAACAGUUAGAAAUGACUGCUAAUACCGCAUAAGCGCACGCUACCGCAUGGUAGUGUGUGAAAAACUCCGGUGGUGUGAGAUGGAUCCGCGUCUGAUUAGCCAGUUGGCGGGGUAACGGCCCACCAAAGCGACGAUCAGUAGCCGACCUGAGAGGGUGACCGGCCACAUUGGGACUGAGACACGGCCCAAACUCCUACGGGAGGCAGCAGUGGGGAAUAUUGCACAAUGGGCGAAAGCCUGAUGCAGCGACGCCGCGUGAGUGAAGAAGUAUUUCGGUAUGUAAAGCUCUAUCAGCAGGGAAGAAAAUGACGGUACCUGACUAAGAAGCCCCGGCUAACUACGUGCCAGCAGCCGCGGUAAUACGUAGGGGGCAAGCGUUAUCCGGAUUUACUGGGUGUAAAGGGAGCGUAGACGGCGAAGCAAGUCUGAAGUGAAAACCCAGGGCUCAACCCUGGGAGUGCUUUGGAAACUGUUUUGCUAGAGUGUCGGAGAGGUAAGUGGAAUUCCUAGUGUAGCGGUGAAAUGCGUAGAUAUUAGGAGGAACACCAGUGGCGAAGGCGGCUUACUGGACGAUAACUGACGUUGAGGCUCGAAAGCGUGNGGAGCAAACAGGAUUAGAUACCCUGNUAGUC